AAUGAAAAUAUAUACUACUUUGAUAAAGUAGAAUCGAUAAUUUAUUUUAUCUUUCAUUA
RNAcentral lists this transfer RNA (59 nucleotides) under Stenostomum leucops. Its description in RNAcentral is "tRNA-Ile". The record is from RNAcentral. Lineage: Eukaryota; Metazoa; Platyhelminthes; Stenostomidae. RNAcentral also lists the same sequence under 1 other name.